Molecule: ribosomal RNA, 474 nt
Filed under: Triticum aestivum (bread wheat)
Lineage: Eukaryota; Viridiplantae; Streptophyta; Magnoliopsida; Poales; Poaceae
Description: partial small subunit ribosomal RNA
Source: RNAcentral
AUGAAUCUCCUGAGUUGGAACUGCCGGGGAGGGGGGAACUCACGGACAGUUCGUGAUUUAGCGACUAUGGUUCAGUCGCAUUCCCCCAGCAUGGUGUUUCUAUGUGAAACUCGGCAAUCAAAAAAUCGUAUGAAAAGAUAUCGAGCUCGUUUGGGACUUCAAGGUUUUGAUGCAGUAGACAGUAUUGGUAAUAGUGGUGGCUUGGCGCUGUUUUGGCACGAAUUGCUGUCUGUUGAGGUGGUUUUCUCGAAUCAGCGAUGCAUUGAUGCACCGGUUAAGGCAGGAGCAGAUGAUCCACCUUGGCGCCUAACUUGUGUUUAUGGAGAACCAAGGGUAGAAGAUCGACACAAUAUGUGGUCUCUGUUGGAAAAUUUGGGUGCUCAGUCUGAUCUCCCCUGGCUUGUGGUUGGUGAUUUUAAUGAAUGCAUGUGGGAUUUUGAACACUUCUCGAUGACACCACGACCAGCUGGGUAA